RNAcentral lists this ribosomal RNA (443 nucleotides) under uncultured bacterium. RNAcentral's name for it is "partial 16S ribosomal RNA". It matches the Rfam family "Bacterial small subunit ribosomal RNA", at positions 338 to 795 of the family's 1533-position model. The record is from RNAcentral.
CCUACGGGUGGCAGCAGUGGGGAAUAUUGGGCAAUGGAGGAAACUCUGACCCAGCAACGCCGCGUGAAUGAUGAAGGUCUUCGGAUUGUAAAGUCCUUUUCUAAGGGAAGAAGAAAGUGACGGUACCUUAGGAAUAAGCCUCGGCUAACUACGUGCCAGCAGCCGCGGUAAUACGUAGGCGGCAAGCGUUAUCCGGAAUGACUGGGCGUAAAGGGUGCGUAGGUGGUUCAGCAAGUUAGUAGCGUAAUUCCGGAGCUCAACUUCGGCACUACUACUAAAACUGUUGGACUUGAGUGCAGGAGGAGCAACUGGAAUGUCUAGUGUAGCGGUGGAAUGCGUAGAUAUUAGGAAGAACACCGGUGGCGAAGGCGAGUUGCUGGACUGUAACUGACGCUGAGGCACGAAAGCGUGGGGAGCAAACAGGAUUAGAUACCCUUGUAGUC